AAAAAAUAUAAAAUAUAGGGUUACAUUGAGCUAAAAUACACCCUGGUAUGUUCCUAGAAAACACAGAUAGUAUUUUUAUUUUACUUAAUACAUACUUAAUACAUCAGCUCUUACAAGAUCACAAUCAUGUGUGUUUGGGUUGCCCUCUAUCAUCCUACAUAUGCCAAAUAGAAUUUUUCUUAACAUUGCAAAAGAGAGGAAAAAUAAGUAUUACAAUAAGCAGCUUUUUUUUGUUAUGUCAACACAUUAUUUGUUCUAAUUUGUAUAUAUUAUCAGGCACGUCUAGAUUCUAUAGCAAAAUAUUUAUUCGGAGCAAAUGUUCGGUAAGCAUUUUUCCAUGAAAAACGGUCUUUGCAUUCCAUCAUUUCUCCAUGCUGUGCAUAUUCCAUGUACAAUGAAACGGUGUUCUCUUCUAUAUAGUACACUCUUGGUUUUAGUGCAAGUGACAUAUAUUACUCAGCACAAAUGCAUGCACAGAUUCAACAACAAAAUGCAUGCAAUGUGAGUGGAAAACAUCCUCUUAAUUUUCUACAGUCUAGAGAAGUUGUACAAGAAACAAGAGAAGUACAAGGGCAGAGGAAGUACAAGGACUGUGGAACGCAAGGUGGAACGCAAGUCCACACGCCCCCACAAGAAACAUCAUAUGGAAGCACGAAGCAAAGGAAUAGACGGCUGGACUGAGGCUUGGAAUGCAACGUCGAUCCAGCAUUAGAAUUAACAAGCAACAGCUGUGAGAGAGAGGGAUAUUUAAACAGCAGGAACCAGACGAGUCUAUCAAAUUAUGACUGAGGAAGCCGAGAGAACGGUUAAACGCAUUUCUUACAGCAUAAGACUUGAAUUAUACACUGGUAUUUGUAUUUACAUUUUAUUGUUUUUUAUACAAUUAUUAAUAAAGUGAUUGUUUUAAAAUACCCAUUUGAAUUCAUGCACUACUACAGAAGGGAGUGUAGUCCCCAACUACACAAAGCUUGUUUACUGAGCCAGGUCACAGGCUCUACAUUUGAGAGUAUAUAAGAAUCAGCCACUCUUUUCUUUAUAUACCAAACAGAAUUAUA
Pelobates cultripes (western spadefoot toad) is the source of this 1055-nucleotide non-coding RNA. Lineage: Eukaryota; Metazoa; Chordata; Amphibia; Anura; Pelobatidae. The record is from the annotation of a GenBank genome assembly.